UACGUAGGGUGCAAGCGUUGUCCGGAAUUACUGGGCGUAAAGGGCUCGUAGGCGGCCAACUAAGUCAGACGUGAAAUCCCUCGGCUUAACCGGGGAACUGCGUCUGAUACUGGAUGGCUUGAAUCCGGGAGAGGGAUGCGGAAUUCCAGGUGUAGCGGUGAAAUGCGUAGAUAUCUGGAGGAACACCGGUGGCGAAGGCGGCAUCCUGGACCGGCAUUGACGCUGAUGAGCGAAAGCCAGGGGAGCAAACGGG
This 253-nucleotide ribosomal RNA is filed under the name uncultured bacterium. RNAcentral's name for it is "partial 16S ribosomal RNA". It matches the Rfam family "Bacterial small subunit ribosomal RNA", at positions 524 to 776 of the family's 1533-position model. The record is from RNAcentral.